Molecule: ribosomal RNA, 252 nt
Filed under: uncultured bacterium
Lineage: Bacteria
Description: partial 16S ribosomal RNA
Rfam family: Bacterial small subunit ribosomal RNA
Source: RNAcentral
CGGGUGAGUAACGCGUGGGUAACCUGCCAUAUACAGGGGGAGUAACAGCGAGAAAUUGCUGCUAAAACCGCAUAAGCGCACGGAGUCGCAUGACUCAGUGUGAAAAACUCCGGUGGUAUAUGAUGGACCCGCGUCUGAUUAGCCAGUUGGCAGGGUAACGGCCUACCAAAGCGACGAUCAGUAGCCGGCCUGAGAGGGUGGACGGCCACAUUGGGACUGAGACACGGCCCAAACUCCUACGGGAGGCAGCAG